Molecule: microRNA precursor, 113 nt
Organism: Medicago truncatula (barrel medic)
Lineage: Eukaryota; Viridiplantae; Streptophyta; Magnoliopsida; Fabales; Fabaceae
Rfam family: MIR2593 microRNA precursor family
Source: Rfam
AUAUAAGCAAAAAUUACUUUUUAGGUUCAUUCAUUUAAUGAUGUAUGCGAUCCAUAUUACGAACCACAUACAUCAUUAAAUGAAUGAACCUAAAAAGUCAAUUUUGCUUAUAU